Long non-coding RNA from Rattus norvegicus (Norway rat), 1384 nucleotides. RefSeq lists it as uncharacterized. NCBI's taxonomy places the organism in Eukaryota, Metazoa, Chordata, Mammalia, Rodentia, Muridae. The record is from RefSeq and is a predicted model, not a curated record.
UAUGCAGAGAUAGAUGGUCUAGCGUGGUUCUCAGUGAGAUUUAUGGCAGAAGGGACAGUUACUAAAGUGGUCUGAGAUUUUGAUUAGGAGUGGGCACAGGAAGGUGACUAAGGGUGCAGGCAUUCGUUUGUUUGUUUUUUGUCUUUUGUUUUGGAAUUUCAUUUGGUUUUACGGGUUUUUUGAGGCAGGGUCUCACUAUGUAGACCAGGCUGACCUAAAAUUCAGAGAUCUACCGGCUUCUAUCACCGGUCCAGAGGCGUGCACCCCCACACCUGGUUCAUUAGAGCUGAGGACACUGCUCCGGUCCAGACCCUGCUUAUUGUGUGAAGCUGUGACCCAGAAUGGGUUAUUUCUUUCGCUGCAAACAAUGAAAUGAACACAAACAAUGAAAUGAAGCCAAACAAUGAAAACGAACACACAGUUUAAGAAACGGGCAAAUCGUUUAAACCGUGACUCUCAGUUCUGCAUUUAUAAAGCGCAGACCGCUGACUACGGUACAAAGCUAUAAAGAAGUGAACGGCACGUAUACCAAGCGCGCUGCUCAGGGGAACACAAAGCAAAGGCUACUGGACCAAGGACAUGCUAUUUUGGGAGAGCGGCUCUGUAUCCAUGUUAAUAGGAAAGAAGAAAAGGCUCUGGACCCCUUCCAGAGUGAUAUGGACCAGAUAAGAGAGGGGAAGACCUCCUGAAGAUCUUGGCUACAGAAAAGAAAAGUUUGAGAACAUCAAACAGGGCAGGUUCAUAUAUUGCAGGAUAUACAGCUCUGAUGGGAUUCAUCCUUGGGGAUGCUGAUGUGACCUGCUGUUCCAGCCCCCUGCCUCCUGAAGCUAUCUCCAGAGAAUUGCUUCCAGAACAGCUUCAGGAAUAGCUGGUGAUUCCAGAUGACCUCGCUUCAUCCAACCUUUCAGACAGAUCCAGUAAGAACUUCAGUCAAGCCCCAAGCCUUCUAAGCAUACAAAGACUGGAUAACAGAUACUAAAGCUAUUUUCCUACUCCUCCCCACUCCUUUAAAGAAUCUGUCAACACCUCUAUUCAGCAGGAAAAAGUUGUGAAGAGUCGUCAUCCCAAUCCCUUGGGUUUGGGUGUCUGGUUAUGGUUAUUUUAUAAAUUAUAGAUAGUUGUCAUUUUAAGGGAUAAUUUGGAAAUGGUCAUAAUUUUAAACAGGGAAGAAAUAGAUGAUGUGAAUUACUAAAUUUAUUCUUGAACAAAACAUUGUUUAGUUCUAUCUUACACGGAUAGAAAUCUUUAUACUUGAUAGAAAAUUGGAGUUAUAGUUUCUUACAUUGGUAUAGAAUUUAUAUAUUGAUAUAGAGUUAAGGUUUUCAUUGUUAUAAAUUUUUAUAUAUUGAUACAAAAUUUAAAAAUAAAUAUUGUUACUCUUAGG